AAGCGGGUAACGGGUGCGAAACCCGUGUGGCACUGGCUUUUAUAUCGGGGGNUAACUCUAGAGAUUAAUACCCCAUAAUAUGUUGAAUGGCAUCAUUCGACAUUGAAAACUCCGGUGGAUAGAGAUGGGGCACGCGCAAGAAUUAGAUAGUUGGUGAGGUAACGGGCUCACCAAAGUCUACGAUCUUUUAGGGGGCCCUGGAAGAAGGGUUGGAUCCCCCAAAACUUGGGUUACUUGGAAGAAACACGGGACCAAGAAUUCCUUAACGGGGAAGGCAGCCAAGUGGAAGGAAUUCAUUCGGGANCAAAUGGGGGUGGAAGAAGCCCCUUGGAAUUCCCAAGGCCCAAUUCCCCGGCGGUUGAAAGGGACCGGAACUUGGCCCCUUAAUGGGGUCUUGGNUAAAACUUCNUUCUGGGUAAUAAGGGGGGAAUUAAAAACCCCUUAACCCUUCCGGUUGGAAACGGGGGUUAAGCCUUCGGAAAGGGUUACCUUAAUUAACCGGAAANUUAAGGGGCCAACCCNGGGGGCUUUAAACUUCCCCGAGUUUGGGCCCAAGCACAAGNCCCGAUCGGGGCUAACAUCACCGGGAAGGGGGGUUUG
This 600-nucleotide ribosomal RNA is filed under the name uncultured bacterium. RNAcentral describes it as "partial 16S ribosomal RNA". The stretch from base 15 to 221 matches the Rfam family "Bacterial small subunit ribosomal RNA", at positions 107 to 310 of the family's 1533-position model. The record is from RNAcentral.